UAAGACGAACCGUCUAAACGUUAUUCGGAAUCACUGGGCUUAAAGGGUGCGUAGGCGGCGCGGAAAGUUGGGUGUGAAAUCCCUCGGCUCAACCGAGGAACUGCGCCCAAAACUACCGUGCUCGAGGGAGAUAGAGGUGAGCGGAACUUAGGGUGGAGCGGUGAAAUGCGUUGAUAUCCUAAGGAACACCGGUGGCGAAAGCGGCUCACUGGAUCUUUUCUGACGCUGAUGCACGAAAGCCAGGGGAGCGAACGGGAUUAGAUACCCCGGUAGUCCUGGCUGUAAACGAUGAGCACUUGGUCGGAGGCUCCUCCAUAGGCUUCUGGCCGUAGCGAAAGUGUUAAGUGCUCCGCCUGGGGAGUAUGGUCGCAAGGCUG
This 377-nucleotide ribosomal RNA is filed under the name uncultured bacterium. RNAcentral describes it as "bacterial SSU rRNA". It matches the Rfam family "Bacterial small subunit ribosomal RNA", at positions 521 to 896 of the family's 1533-position model. The record is from RNAcentral.